UUAUAGCCCCGGUAGUAGCGGCAUCCUUUUACUCCUUUCUUUAAGGAGUAAAAGAUAAAGCGGAUAACGGGAAUAGCU
RNAcentral lists this small RNA (78 nucleotides) under Flavobacterium glycines. RNAcentral describes it as "Flavo-1 RNA". It matches the Rfam family "Flavo-1 RNA". The record is from RNAcentral. Lineage: Bacteria; Pseudomonadati; Bacteroidota; Flavobacteriia; Flavobacteriales; Flavobacteriaceae.